GGAGGGUGCAAGCGUUAUCCGGAUUUACUGGGUUUAAAGGGUGUGUAGGCGGACUUUUAAGUCAGCGGUGAAAUCUCCGGGCUCAACCCGGAAACUGCCAUUGAUACUAUUGGUCUUGAAUGUUGUUGAGGUGGGCGGAACGGGUCAUGUAGCGGUGAAAUGCAUAGAUAUGACCCGGAACACCGAUUGCGAAGGCAGCCCACUAAGCAAUGAUUGACGCUGAGGCACGAAAGCGUGGGGAUCAAACAGGAUUAGAUACCCUGGUAGUCCACGCCCUAAACGAUGAUUACUCGACGUUGGCGAUACACUGAUCAGCGUCCAAGCGAAAGCAUUAAGUAAUCCACCUGGGAAGUACGUUCGNAANNAUG
RNAcentral lists this ribosomal RNA (368 nucleotides) under uncultured bacterium. RNAcentral's name for it is "bacterial SSU rRNA". It matches the Rfam family "Bacterial small subunit ribosomal RNA", at positions 527 to 896 of the family's 1533-position model. The record is from RNAcentral.